GUGCAANUUUACNUGCAGUCGAAACGGUACGCNGGGGAGAAGCUUGCUUCUCUCCGGCGACGAGUGGCGAACGGGUGAGUAAUACAUCGGAACGUGUCCGCUCGUGGGGGACAACCAGCCGAAAGGUUGGCUAAUACCGCAUGAGUUCUACGGAAGAAAGAGGGGGACCCGCAAGGGCCUCUCGCGAGCGGAGCGGCCGAUGACUGAUUAGCCGGUUGGUGAGGUAACGGCUCACCAAAGCAACGAUCAGUAGCUGGUCUGAGAGGACGACCAGCCACACUGGGACUGAGACACGGCCCAGACUCCUACGGGAGGCAGCAGUGGGGAAUUUUGGACAAUGGGCGCAAGCCUGAUCCAGCUAUUCCGCGUGUGGGAUGAAGGCCCUCGGGUUGUAAACCACUUUUUUAGAGAACGAAAAGACACCUUCGAAUAAAGGGUGUUGCUGACGGUACUCUAAGAAUAAGCACCGGCUAACUACGUGCCAGCAGCCGCGGUAAUACGUAGGGUGCGAGCGUUAAUCGGAAUUACUGGGCGUAAAGGGUGCGCAGGCGGUUGAGUAAGACAGAUGUGAAAUCCCCGAGCUUAACUCGGGAAUGGCAUAUGUGACUGCUCGACUAGAGUGUGUCAGAGGGAGGUGGAAUUCCACGUGUAGCAGUGAAAUGCGUAGAUAUGUGGAAGAACACCGAUGGCGAAGGCAGCCUCCUGGGACAUAACUGACGCUCAGGCACGAAAGCGUGGGGAGCAAACAGG
RNAcentral lists this ribosomal RNA (750 nucleotides) under uncultured bacterium. Its description in RNAcentral is "bacterial SSU rRNA". It matches the Rfam family "Bacterial small subunit ribosomal RNA", at positions 44 to 776 of the family's 1533-position model. The record is from RNAcentral.